GCGUCGGUGGUAAUAACGGUUAGCAUAGCUGCCUUCCAAGUAGUUGACUCGGGUUCGACUCCCGGCCGACGCA
RNAcentral lists this transfer RNA (73 nucleotides) under Caerostris darwini. Its description in RNAcentral is "tRNA-Gly". It matches the Rfam family "tRNA". From Rfam's summary of the family: Transfer RNA (tRNA) molecules are approximately 80 nucleotides in length. Their secondary structure includes four short double-helical elements and three loops (D, anti-codon, and T loops). Lineage: Eukaryota; Metazoa; Arthropoda; Arachnida; Araneae; Araneidae. The record is from RNAcentral.